RNAcentral lists this ribosomal RNA (253 nucleotides) under uncultured bacterium. Its description in RNAcentral is "partial 16S ribosomal RNA". It matches the Rfam family "Bacterial small subunit ribosomal RNA", at positions 524 to 776 of the family's 1533-position model. The record is from RNAcentral.
GACAGAGGUCCCGAGCGUUGUUCGGAUUCAUUGGGCGUAAAGGGUGUGUAGGAGGUCGGGUAAGUCAGGUGUGAAAUCUCACAGCUUAACUGUGAAACUGCGCUUGAUACUGCCCGGCUAGAGGAUCGGAGGGGGUAACGGAAUUUAUGGUGUAGCAGUGAAAUGCGUAGAUAUCAUAAGGAACACUGGUGGCGAAGGCGGUUACCUGGAAGAUUCCUGACUCUGAAACACGAAAGCCAGGGGAGCAAACGGG